This 525-nucleotide ribosomal RNA is filed under the name uncultured bacterium. RNAcentral describes it as "bacterial SSU rRNA". It matches the Rfam family "Bacterial small subunit ribosomal RNA", at positions 984 to 1509 of the family's 1533-position model. The record is from RNAcentral.
ACAUCCAGAGAACUUUCCAGAGAUGGAUUGGUGCCUUCGGGAACUCUGAGACAGGUGCUGCAUGGCUGUCGUCAGCUCGUGUUGUGAAAUGUUGGGUUAAGUCCCGCAACGAGCGCAACCCUUAUCCUUUGUUGCCAGCGGUUAGGCCGGGAACUCAAAGGAGACUGCCAGUGAUAAACUGGAGGAAGGUGGGGACGACGUCAAGUCAUCAUGGCCCUUACGAGUAGGGCUACACACGUGCUACAAUGGCGCAUACAAAGAGAAGCGACCUCGCGAGAGCAAGCGGACCUCAUAAAGUGCGUCGUAGUCCGGAUUGGAGUCUGCAACUCGACUCCAUGAAGUCGGAAUCGCUAGUAAUCGUAGAUCAGAAUGCUACGGUGAAUACGUUCCCGGGCCUUGUACACACCGCCCGUCACACCAUGGGAGUGGGUUGCAAAAGAAGUAGGUAGCUUAACCUUCGGGAGGGCGCUUACCACUUUGUGAUUCAUGACUGGGGUGAAGUCGUAACAAGGUAAGCGUAGUGCU